AUUUACUCCCUUACCUACAAGAUUCCCAUCAUCCAUUUGUUUUGCAUUCCUUCAUAGUUCCAUUCACUCAUUAAUUCAUUUAACAAAUAUUUUCGAAGCACAUUACUUGGUACCAGUCAUUGUAUUAGAUACUGGCUAUCAAAUCCAAGUUUACAAAAGGAAAUUGAACCAAUGGGCUAUUAGCUGAAUUGACAACGUGAUCUAAUGACUUUGAUGUUGGUAGAGACCUCUCCACUUUCUCCACCUCUC
Molecule: long non-coding RNA, 249 nt
Filed under: Homo sapiens (human)
Lineage: Eukaryota; Metazoa; Chordata; Mammalia; Primates; Hominidae
Description: non-protein coding lnc-EPG5-6:1
Source: RNAcentral